Molecule: non-coding RNA, 157 nt
Filed under: bovine gut metagenome
Description: FMN riboswitch (RFN element)
Rfam family: FMN riboswitch aptamer (RFN element)
About the family: The RFN element is a highly conserved domain that is found frequently in the 5'-untranslated regions of prokaryotic mRNAs that encode for flavin mononucleotide (FMN) biosynthesis and transport proteins.
Source: RNAcentral
UUCUUCAGGGCAGGGUGAAAUCCCCGACCGGCGGUGAUCGAAACGCUAUCCGAUCGCAAUAGGAUGCGAUAGAAGCAGCGUUUCCCAAGUCCGCGAGCUGAAAAGCACGAACCGGUGCGAUUCCGGUACCGACAGUACAGUCUGGAUGGAAGAGGAA